AUUGAACGCUGGCGGCAUGCUUUACACAUGCAAGUCGAACGGUAACAGGGUGCUUGCACCGCUGACGAGUGGCGAACGGGUGAGUAAUGCGUCGGAACGUGCCGAGUAGUGGGGGAUAACGCAGCGAAAGUUGUGCUAAUACCGCAUACGUACUGAGGUAGAAAGUGGGGGACCUUCGGGCCUCACGCUAUUCGAGCGGCCGACGUCUGAUUAGCUAGUAGGUGAGGUAAAGGCUCACCUAGGCGACGAUCAGUAGCGGGUCUGAGAGGAUGAUCCGCCACACUGGGACUGAGACACGGCCCAGACCCCUACGGGAGGCAGCAGUGGGGAAUUUUGGACAAUGGGCGAAAGCCUGAUCCAGCCAUGCCGCGUGUCUGAAGAAGGCCUUCGGGUUGUAAAGGACUUUUGUCAGGGAGGAAAUCCCUAGUGCUAAUAACACUGGGGGAUGACAGUACCUGAAGAAUAAGCACCGGCUAACUACGUGCCAGCCGCCGCAACAC
This 500-nucleotide ribosomal RNA is filed under the name uncultured bacterium. RNAcentral's name for it is "partial 16S ribosomal RNA". It matches the Rfam family "Bacterial small subunit ribosomal RNA", at positions 30 to 526 of the family's 1533-position model. The record is from RNAcentral.